GAUGAAGAACGCAGCGAAAUGCGAUACGUAAUGUGAAUUGCAGAAUUCAGUGAAUCAUCGAAUCUUUGAACGCAUAUUGCGCUCUCUGGUAUUCCGGAGAGCAUGCUUGUUUGAGUAUCAGUAAACACCUCAACUCCCCUUUCUUUUUUGAAAUGGGAGCUGGACUUGAGUGAUCCCAACGCUUUUCUCACCGAAAAGUGGCGGGUUACUUGAAAUGCAGGUGCAGCUGGACUUUUCUCUGAGCUAAACGCAUAUCUAUUUAGUCUGCCUAAAAACAGAUUAUUACCUUUGCUGCAGCUAACAUAAAGGAGAUUAGUUCUUGUGCUGACUGAUGCAGGAUUCACAGAGACAGCUUCGGCUGGCCUUUGUAAACUCGAUCUCAAAUCAAGUAAGACUACCCGCUGAACUUAAGCAUAUCAAUAAGCGGAGGA
This 431-nucleotide unclassified non-coding RNA is filed under the name soil metagenome. RNAcentral's name for it is "partial contains 5.8S ribosomal RNA, internal transcribed spacer 2, and large subunit ribosomal RNA". The stretch from base 1 to 120 matches the Rfam family "5.8S ribosomal RNA", at positions 35 to 154 of the family's 154-position model. The record is from RNAcentral.